GGAGCGAAAGCUCCCGUGUAAUGUCGCCGUGGACGGUCACAAGCCCGUGAAAAGACAGAGUGCACG
RNAcentral lists this non-coding RNA (66 nucleotides) under unclassified sequences. The record is from RNAcentral.